This 166-nucleotide non-coding RNA is filed under the name Mesotoga infera. Lineage: Bacteria; Thermotogati; Thermotogota; Thermotogae; Kosmotogales; Kosmotogaceae. The record is from RNAcentral.
CCUAUGACAUUGUAACUCCGUAUCAAGGGAAACCGGUGAGAAUCCGGUACGGUCCCGCCACUGUGAACGGUUACGAAAUCCACAAGGUGCCACUGGGAAACCGGGAAGGCGUGGAGAUUAGGUUGAGCCGUGAGUCAGGAGACCUGAGCAGAGUUGAGAUAUCACC